AUAGAAAAAGGGAGUGAAUUUUCUAAGCUAUGUACAGAAGCUCAAACUUGUCAUACGUAUUGAAUUUUCUCCGAAUAAUGUGAUUACGCAAACCUGCACGUUCCGGAUUAUACAUUUGUGAUCCAAACUGAUUUUACAAAGUGUUUUUUGAGAUUAGAAAAAAAUGAGCCAAUUCAGCAAUUCUGACCUUGAAUUUGGAUUCAGCAAGUCAAAAUACAUAAAGGUAGACUAUUCUGGUCCGCCAAAACAACAUUAUAAGAAAAAAAUUUGUUUUGAGGUUACAAAAAAAUGAGUCAAUUCAGCAAUUCUGACCUUGAAUUUGGAUUUAACGGGUCAAAUUACAUAAUGGUAGACUAUUCUGGUCCGCCGGACCAACAUUAUAAGAAAUUUUUUUUGAGUUUAUGAAAAAAUUAGCCAAUUCAGCAAUUCUGACCUUGGAUUUAGAUUCAGCAAGUCAAAAUACGUAAGGAUUGACUGACUAGUCUGCUCCGCCGGACCAACAUAAAAAAAAAAUUUUUUUUGAUGUUAGAAAAUGCGAGCCAACUUUGCAAUUCUGACUUUGGAUUUGGAUUCAGCGAGUCGAAAUACAUAAGGAUUGACUAGUCUAGUCCGCCGGACCAACCACUUCUUUUUUGUGUGCCUGUGUUAUUAAACUUUCACAAAAACUUUGUACAAGUAUGACAUUUAAAACAGGUAAUUUUGGUGAUUUUAAUUACGUGUGCACACAUUUAAAGUAAAACUUAAAUCGAGAGAUAUUGCAACUUAUAGUGCAAGAUUGAGGCGCAGUUUUAACAACUUGUUGUGCCCCUGAUCACGGGACACUGUAUCGCUGCCGUAAAUUCCUCGGGGUCAGGUUCCAGAAAGAUAAUGCCGAUAGUGGUUUAAACAUUAUAUAUUUACUUUUAACUGAAUUACAAGUCUUUGUUACAUAUAAACCCGUAUCAAAUAAUACAAAAAAAUGUUAAGACAAGCGACAGAUUCGUCGCUGUACGAUAUACAAUUAAGCCCACUCAUAUUAUCUUUUCGCGGUGUUUAUAUACACCGAUUUUUGGCUUGUUAACGGGAAGAGUACUUCUGCGGUCACUAGCCUUGGGUCAGUGCACUCGCUUAGCCACCAAUUGCUGGCUACGUACUAUUGCGAGCAUAGUCUCGCGCACGUUGUGAGCGCGAGCUUUAGUCUGCGCUCCGGAAAAAUCAAUAUUAUCGAUCACCUCAGUCAGCUGUGUUCAGCGUUGACAGCAUCGGCAGGGAGAUUGUAAACAAAUAAAAGGACGGUUGUUGUUCUUAAGACGUCGUCUCGUGCGAACAUGCUCGGAAUAAUUGUACUUGCAUACGGUGCUACCAAUAAAAGUUUCUUGUUUGCUACAAACGUAUGCUUAUUUCACCGCGCUCGUAUGUGGGAGUGAGUGUGACACGAAGGCGUUUGAGCGUACUUUCCAUCCAAAAUCAGAGUGUUGUUUGUUUGGUAACCGGAUAUAUUGCCCGGUGCGACACCCGGUGUGAAAACCGGGCGGUGUUGCAUGCGCGAGGUGUCACUUAACACCUUUAUCGCUCAUGUUAUUCUCGAUGUGAGUGUUGUACACUCACAACAAACUUUAAGAUCGCUGUAAGCGCUAUAAAAUUAAUUUUUAUUUAUUUUUUGAAGUUUGAAUACAUGACUUAAAAAAAACCGAAAUAAAAAAAUCUUAAAUAACUGAUAUACAGGCGCAAAGAGGUAAAAUGGAAAACGAAAUAAAAAAUGCAAUCUAAGUGGUACUUAGAUGCUUUAAUUGUAAAAAAACGUUUUGUUUUUUCUUUGAAAAAUUAGAACAUUAGUUAUAACUUAAAUAUUAUAAUAUAAAUAUUUUUAAUUAUUUAGAAAAAAAAUUGAAUAAAAAUGCCUUGUGCAAUCUGGAUAAAGACAAUUCAUCCAAACAGGUAAACUAAUCAAAAACCAAAUAAGAAAUGAAAACUCAUUUGAAACUCAUAAAUUGUGCUAAGAGAGCCCUAUUCGGUUGAAUAUUUAAGCCUGUCCAAGUUUAUUCAGUUUUUAGAUAAAAUAAUGCGUAUCGGUUGAUGUAUCUUUAAACAAUACUCUAAAUUUAAUAUCAAGUUUACAUACGUAUAACUUUUUUAAGACUUUACCUUCAGAACAUAAACAAAACUUGUUUCUUCACAAUUAAAAAUAUCACUUAGACUGUGCAUUUUUAUUUUAUCUUUUAUUUUUAUAUUUUUGCGCCUGUACAUUAGUUAUUUAAGAUUUUUGUUUCGGUUUUCUUUAAGGGUGUAUCAGACAUACAAUCUUAGACAAAAGUGCAUAAAAUUUGAAAUACUUAAAUAUCUACGCUUAACGCAUAGUAAAGCUAGAUGUAAGAAACUUGAACAAUAGUUGGAGUCUUAUUUUUACUCUUACAAAGAUAUUUUUCACGUAUUUGCGAUUUUUUUCACUUAUGAGUUUAAACUUUUGACAGUAAAAAUGCACAAUCAUCUCAAGUUAUAUUUUAUUUCUUUAAAACGGUGUAGUGAAGACAAUUAGAACUUGGCAGAUAUUUUCUUCUAUUCAUAUACUAGAUGUACAAAAAAAAUUCAAAACACUGGUACCAUUUCUAUGUUUUUUUAGCUAUUUCAUCCGUCAAGAUUGUCUUUUUCCCUAAGAUAGAAAAGGAUACCAUGUAAAAUCAAUGAAAAUUAAAAUAGUUAUAAUUCAGCAACCGUUUAGUGGAUUCGUUUUCAAUUUUUUGCAGUACAUUAGGGAAACUAAAAAAAACAAUUUCACAAAUUUUUAGCAACUUUGUACCAUUUUGAAUUUCAGUCCGAUACACCCUUAACCCAUUAAUACCCAAGCGGACACAUUAUUAACAUAACUUUCAGUGACUUUAUUUGCAAUGUUAAAGAUCUAUAAAAAAUUUGAAAAGUAUUAUUCUUACGUAAAAUUUUGCGCUCUUUCAGAAUCCAUCGUUAGACUUUGUGUAAAAAAAGUCCAAAAAAAUUAUGAUGACUUUUAAGUCAAAAAAUGCAAAAAAAUCGCAAAAACUUUUUUCACAUCGAAUAUAAAACUCCAACUCUUUUCGCAACCAUCGAUGCAAAAUAGUUGUACUUAAAGGGUAUAUUUUUCAAAUUUGUCAAAAUUUUUAUUGAAAAAUGGCGGCUAAAUUGCAAAAAUUGACAAAUUGUAUUUUUCCAAAAUAAAUUUGUUCGAUCUACAAUUUUUGACAUCGGAUUCGUAAUUAGCAAUCACGAAAACCUUCAAAUACCCAAAUUCAAAUGAAUUAGCCCUUCUUUUAAAAAACUUCAGUCGCCAUAUUGGAUCCAUUAUUCUAAAUUUUUAGAUUUCAAAUUCAGAUUCAUAAUUAGCAACCUCAAAACUCGUAAAUAUCCAAUUUAAAAUAAAUUAGCUCUCUUUUUAAUAACUUGAUCCACCAAAUUAGGUCCGCCAUUUAAAAUUUUUUAAUUUGGAUUUCAAAUUUAUAAUUAACGAUCCAAAAAACUGAACAACAAAAGUUUGGUGAUUGGGAUGAAUCAAUAACAGAGUGGAUUACAACAAAUAUUCUCCAAAUAACUAAAUCCCAUGCAAAAUCUAGCACUUUGGAUGCCUCGUUGUCCGAAUUGAAACGCUGUUUUAAUAAAUGGUUUAAGAAAAUUAUGAGGAUUUUUAUGGAGACUAUUUCUGUGAAAUUUGAAUAAAUUCCGUGAGAGACAGAAAAGCAGCCUUAUAAACUCUUCUCCUUGUAAGGAAGUGCUGUACAUAUAACACGAAUGCAUGCACAAUUACCUAUAGUAAACUAAUACAAACAAUACCGUUCAUGAGUAUAUUACUGUGUGCAUUAAUACGCUGCAUGCAAGCUAAGUAAUGGAUGAUUAUGAUUGCAUUCCGAUAUUCACUGCUGAUACUAAAAAUCUAUAAUGUAAUAUAAACUAUAGAUUUCCAAUAUUGAUAAAUAUCGGAACGCAGCCUAUGACAACGACAAUCAUUCAAAGCAUUCUCUAGACUGUUACUUUUCUCUCUUACACAGACUUCAAUAAACAGACUGCUAAUUUCCUUAUAUACCGUGCCCAAAAGUUGUCUCCAAUGUUGUUACGUAUUAUAUGGCAAUCUUAAAGAUAUUAUGUAUUACAUGACGUGUCAUGUAAUAAUAUUGUUACGCGCGCGGCCUGGUAUACUCUUCGUCCGCGAGUCAGUUGUCGGAUCGGCGAUAUCGAUCGGCGGUGGCGGUCAGCUGUUGAAAGCCGGACAACGAGAGUAAAUAGAAAUAAAUAAACAGUUGUAAAGAGACAGCAAGCUAGAUCAGACGUGCUUGUAACCUUUUCAAUAAAGACGCUUGAUUACUUGAGUUAAAAAAGAGUGUCUCCUUUCUUUCCGCGGGCGCGCGCAUUACCUUUGGGGGCUCGUCCGGGAUCCGUUCGUCGGAUCCUGCGGAACGCGCGCGAGUUUUGACGGAAAGUGCGCGGAGUGAAAGUGUGUGAAAGGAAGUGAUGGAGAUCACGGGCUCUGCUGAGGAAAUGACAGAAAGACGUUCCCUACGCAUGCCGGCGAAAAAAAGGCGUGGCGAAACUCCGGGGCCUUCUUCGGGUGCAGCGGCGUGGAAAUUCUUGCUACUUUUGGAAGAGCUACGGCAGAUGCGAGAGGAACAAGCGCGACAGCAGCAGGAGUUCGGGGAGACAUUGCGGCGGCUGCAAUUUCCCUACGAUGGAAAACCAACUAAGUUCCUCUGAUAAUAUCCGUACGGCUAGAAAUGAGGGGGAAGGGGGCGCGUUACAAGAAAUCGCUGCGAGCGUAGAAGCAAGUGGAGAUACGCGGGCGACCGUCGGUCUUAAACUAAAACCCGAUACUUUUGACGGAAUGGUUCCGUUGCGUGAAUUUCUGACUCAAUUCUCUCUUAUCGCAAAUGCGAAUCGAUGGAGUAAGACAAAAAAGGCGGUGGUUAGCUUCUUGUUUACGGGGAAAAACGCGUUCGUUAUUAGAUUCUUGCGUCGAAAAUGAGGACUCUCUUUCUUUCGAGGAGCUUAAAUCAAAGCUAAAACUUCGUUUCGGGGAGGGCGAACUUUCGCAAAAUUAUUAUACUCAGUUUACGAAUCGGAAGCAGAGUCCGGGCGAGGAUUUUGCGACGCUGGACACGGAUCUGGAACAUCUUUCCCGAAAAGCGUAUCCCGAGUGUACGCAUAAAGUGCGCGAUAAAAUUGCUUCCUCGUAGUUCAUCGCUGCGUUAACGGACGGAUUUGUAAAACGUUCUCUUCAGAUGAAGGGAAUAACGUCCUUCAGGAUCGCAAUUAAGCAGGCAAAAACGCUUGAGUUCAUUAAUCGAAGUAGUCUUCCAGAAAAAAUAAACGAAAAUUUUCGCGCGGAACGCAGAAUUAAGGAUAACGUUUCAAAACAGAAAGACAAAGGAAAAGAAAAGACAAAUUUUAAGGGAACAAUUAAGAAUGAGGAGCGUAAAAACAAAAAGUGUUGGCAAUGUGGAGCGAUCGGGCAUUUCCGUGCGGAGUGUCCUGCCGCGGAAGACGGGAAACUAAGCUCUGUCGGAUUAAUCGAAACUGGCUCGGCAGACGGAGUUCGGACCCCGUUUCGCGCGCGUGACGGAGCCGUUCUUAUGCGUCGGCUCAGUGACAUCGUCGUGAACGUGCGCGAACGCUGUGCGUGAAUGGUUUUUUGAAUGACAAGCCAUAUUGUUUUAAAAUUGAUACAGACUCGGACGUGUCGGCUUUGAGCGCCAGAAUGGCAGCCUCUCUUAAACAAAAACGUAUUAAAUUUUGCGAUUUAAAAUAUCCCACCGAAAAAAAAGUCCCAGUAGUUUCUCAUGUUUCUGCCAUAGUUUUUCUGGGCAAAUUUUGCGUUAAUUUACUGUUAUGUUGCGGAAAUAAGCAACAAAUGUAUACUCAGAGUGGAUUUUCUCUUUGAGACAGGAAUUUUGGAUGGUUUGUUCAAAAAACGCCCUCGAUUUAACGGGUGGUGGGGUGGAAGAGCACGGGCAAAUUUGUUCUCAAAUUGAGGACUGCCCUGCUCGACUCUCCGGCCCUCUUUUGCCAUACUUGAGGAAAUUUCUCAGAAACUUGAAAUUUUUCAAAAACGGAUAUUUGUAAAUUUCUUGCUUAAAUUUUCGUAUGUUUUUUCUGAAAAUAUUGUUGCUGGAAAUUGUAAUGUUUUGUCUUAUGAUAUAUAAUUGUGUGAUUCUUGUCCCAUUAAGUAGGUACCUCGCCAAAUUCCCCUUCACUUGCAGGUGAAAAUAAAUAAAAUUCUUGAGGACAUGAAAGCACAAAAAGUUAUAGAGGAAUCGAAUAGUCCUUGGAUUUCUCCUGCAGGUAUAGUAAAAAAGAAGAAUGGAACGAUAAGAUUUUGUGUUAAUUAUCGGAGAUUAAAUGCUGUGACUAUAAAAGAUUCUUAUCCGCUGCCGAGAAUUGAUAAUAUUCUGGAUUGCUUAAGAGGAAAUUCGUUCUGUACAAUUAAUUUAAAAAGUGGAUAUUGACAGCUAAGCCUAGAUCCUAAGGAUUGCGAAAAAAACUUCUUCGAAACAAGAAGCAACUGAGGCGAGUCCGGCGGAAAUGUACCUUGGGCAAGAUCUUCGUCUGUCUUUGGAUCUUCUUAAGAAUUGUUCUCCUUCAAAUAGUAAUGGAGGAGAAAGAAGAGAGUAAUUUUAUUUUCAGACUCAGGGAUAAGCUCGAUUCUAUUCAUCGUUUUUCCCGACAACGUCUUCAAAUCAGUUCAAAGAACGCGAAAUUUUGGUAUGAUUGACGUACUAAGCAGAUGCUCUUCGAGCCAAGACAGAAGGUCUGGUUUUACAAUCCUCGAUGUAAACGUGUUGCAGGAAGAGCCCCGAAGCUGCAAAGUUCUUGGAAAGGACCCUGAAGAAUUAAGAAGAAACUUGCUGAUGUCUCAUACUGUAUAGAAAAAUCUUCUCGCUUUAAAAAUAAAAUUGUACAUGCAAACCGUUUAACUCCUUUUCAGAAAAGGGAUUAGUUUAGAAUCCUUUUAUUGAAACCGAUACUUUUAUUGAAACCGAGUCUGAGCCUGUACGCGUGCGAGUUAAAAGAGAAAGAUGUUUCGUUUAAAAAAUAAAGUCACUUGAUUUUUCUACGUUUGUUGUUUUAUGUUUUAUUUUAGUCACAUAAGAGGAAAGCUGGGUAGGAAAAGAAAAGAAAAGACAGAAUAAUGAUAAAAAACACUUAGGAUGAGUAAUCUGGCAAAUUUUUUUAUUGAUGACAUUUGUCUGUGGAAUGUUGUGUUGUGCAGACAUGGUUUCCAACACAUCUCCUGUAAUAGUGUUCAACGGUUUUGAGCGAAUUGACAUGGAUAGAUUUUUAAUGUGUUAACAUAAUUUAAUUAAAAUACACUUGAUAAGAAUCAGAAAUUGUCUGGCCAAAACGUUGUGUUGUUUUUUAAUUACAUCAAUAAAACAAUAUUUGCCAGAUUAGUCAUCCUAAGUGCUUUUAUUAUUAUUCUUUGAACAUUGGCAUAUUAACAAUACUAUUGAAAGACAGAAUUUUUCACUACUCCUUAAAAAACUGCCUUUCUCACGAUUUUUGACCGUGGUUUUUCCGUGAGACUUUGGGCGAAUGCUGAGGCAGGGGACAGAGAGCUUUUUAAGAUCGUUGGGUCCACAGGAGCUAUUCCCCUCUAAUCCCAAAGAAAGAAGAAAGAAGCACCCAAGACUCGGCGUAAUGAAGUAAGAAAAGCUCAAGGCUCAAGAUAGAAAAAGAGCACGGACAGCGGAGUACUGAAGUGGACGUGGCCCGGUAAGCCGCUGCAGCAGCACGGGGGGGGGGGGGAGGGCAGGAAAUUGUCCUGGAACCCUAUGAAGCCAACUUCGUAGAGCGUGUCGAGCUAUCUCCCUGAUUGUUGGGAUGACAAUCUUAAAGAGGGAGGGCAGUGUUACGUGUGCGGCCCGGUAUACUCUUCAUCCGCGAGUCAGUUGUCAGAUCGGCGAUAUCGAUCGGCGGCGGCGGUCAGCUGUUGAGAGUCGGGCAACGAGAGUAAAUAAAAAUAAAUAAACAGUAUAGAAAAACUUUAUAGAGAAACGGCGAGCUAGAUCAGACGUGGUUGUAACCUUUUCAAUAAAAACGCUUGAUUACUUGAGUUAAAAGAGGGUGUCUCCUUUCUUUCUGUGGGCGCGCGCGUUACAAUAUUAUGAAUGGAUUAGUGUACAUGGGUGUUGUCAUAUAAUACAUGCACAGGCGGUACAUGGGUGUUGUCAUAUAAUACAUGCACAGGCGGUACCCCACUGUUCUACACAUUCGCGAAAAAAUGUUGUACAUACUUUUCAAAGCCAUGUAUUUGGCAUAAGUUAGCAAUCUAUUUAUUAAAGUCUGUGGGAUUGCGCACCGCUAUAAUAUAUACCGGGAAAUGCUAAUGCCGACAAGACGCGUGUCAUCAUAAAACGAAAGAAAAGAGAUAAUAGCAUGCGCGUUAUGAAAGAGAAAAUGCUACAACUUUUUUUUUUCGUCCUGUCAGGUAUAUAAUAGAUCCCUUUGACUAAAGUUACUAGAUUACAAAGUAUCGCAAUUCAUAAGAUACAUGGGAAUCAAAAUGACGGCGAAAAGUGUAUAUAGUGUAUAGGUAGUGUAAGUCAUCUGUGCUUAAAAUGCAACUUAUCUAACCUUCUAUUGUACGUAAAAGUGACUUUAAUUGUACGGAAUCUUACAAAAUGCCAGGUUGCUGUGUAAACAAUUAUAAUAAUCACAGUGAAAGAGGGUUUAGAUUGUUUCGAGUACCAAACGGAAAGAAUACUGAGAGAAAACAAGAAUGGCUUAAAUUAAUAGGAAGAAACAUUGCCAGAAAGGGCUGAAAUCUGUGAGGUGCAUUUUAGUAAAGAUCAAUUCGAGAAGAAUAGAGCAGAUGAAAAAAAAUUGCUUUGUCCAUUUGCCAAACCCAAUUUAUUACAUGCAAUAGAAAAUGAUAAAGACACUGAAAUAAAAAAUAAAUAUAAAAAAGUAAAAUAUAUGAGUCUCAAUGAUGUUAAGAAUGUAGAUAAUUGUUGUAAAUUUUACAUAAUUCAAUAGUAUAACAUAAUUCAAUAAUACUUAAAUAUAUAAAAAAAGUAUAAAUAUGUUAAUUGUUCCGUUAUAUUAGCACAUAUAUUACUAUAAUUGAUACUGUCAUGUUAUUUGAAACAAAUAUUUGCGCAAUCAUUUGAGUGACAAUUCCUUCAGCAAUGUCAAUAACGGUGACAAUGUUAUUGCGGAGCCAGAAAUUAUAUCUGCAGAUCAUGAUGUCAAUCAAUCUGGGCAUUCUGUAACAACUGAUAUGAGAGAUAUAUCAAAUGAAAAAUUCGAUAAAAAAAUAAGAAAUUAUGAAGAACAAAUAAAAAAAUUAAAGAAAUUUUUAAAUAAAGUUGUGGUAAAAUGUAAUGCUUUAAAAAGAAAAUUGGGAAAGCAAAAUACAAGAUUUUAUAAAAUAUUUAAUGAAGAUCAGAGGGAGUUUAUCGCACAUGACACACACAAGGAAGCAUCAUGGUCUCCAGAUACAAUUAUAAAAGCAUUAAAACUUUAUGCCGCAUGUGGUCAAAAAGGUUAUAAAGAAAUACCUCAACAAAAUUUACCAUAUCCAAGUAUUCGCACUUUGCAAAGUCGUAUACAAGGCUUAAAAUUUAAGCCAGGUAUAUUCGAAGAUGUGUUCAAUAUGUUAAAAAUUAAAGUUAGUAUUCAUAAUUUUUAAUUAAGAUUCGAAUUUAUUGUCGUUUCUAAAAUCUCAAAAUUUAAGAAUUUCUUAAAAAGAUUUUAUUCAAUGAGAUGAUGCUAUGCAAUCAUUCCAUUG
Molecule: long non-coding RNA, 9724 nt
Organism: Monomorium pharaonis (pharaoh ant)
Lineage: Eukaryota; Metazoa; Arthropoda; Insecta; Hymenoptera; Formicidae
Exons: 2
Source: RefSeq, a predicted model, not a curated record